GUGCUUGCCUUGGCAGCACAUAUACUAAAAGUGGAACAAUACAGAGAAGACAAGCAUGGCCUCUGUGCAAGGAUGACACACA
Rhinopithecus bieti (black snub-nosed monkey) is the source of this 82-nucleotide small nuclear RNA. Lineage: Eukaryota; Metazoa; Chordata; Mammalia; Primates; Cercopithecidae. The record is from Ensembl.